Molecule: ribosomal RNA, 460 nt
Filed under: uncultured Desulfocapsa sp.
Lineage: Bacteria; Pseudomonadati; Thermodesulfobacteriota; Desulfobulbia; Desulfobulbales; Desulfocapsaceae
Description: bacterial SSU rRNA
Rfam family: Bacterial small subunit ribosomal RNA
Source: RNAcentral
GCACAAGCGGUGGAUGAUGUGGAUUAAUUCGACGCAACGCGCAGACCUUACCUGGUCUUGACAUCCCGGGAAUUCCUUGAAAGAGGGAAGUGCCUCGCAAGAGGAGCCUGGAGACAGGUGCUGCAUGGCUGUCGUCAGCUCGUGUCGUGAGAUGUUGGGUUAAGUCCCGCAACGAGCGCAACCCUUGUCUUUAGUUGCCAUCAUUCAGUUGGGCACUCUAAAGAGACUGCCGGUGUCAAACCGGAGGAAGGCGGGGAUGACGUCAAGUCCUCAUGGCCCUUACAUCCCGGGCUACACACGUGCUACAAUGGCAGGUACAGAGGGCUGCGAAGCCGCGAGGUGGAGCGAAUCCCAGAAAACCUGUCUCAGUCCGGAUUGAAGUCUGCAACUCGACUUCAUGAAGGCGGAAUCGCUAGUAACCGCGAAUCAGCAGGUCGCGGUGAAUACGUUCCCGGGCCUU